Molecule: long non-coding RNA, 615 nt
Organism: Amaranthus tricolor (Joseph's coat)
Lineage: Eukaryota; Viridiplantae; Streptophyta; Magnoliopsida; Caryophyllales; Amaranthaceae
Exons: 3
Source: RefSeq, a predicted model, not a curated record
UACCCCAAAUCAGUAACCCAAUUCCCCUUUCCCUUUUCCUUCCUUCUUCUUCGAGCAAUCAGCAACACCAUCAACAUCUUCAUCACCUUCCUCCUUCUUUAGAAAUUUCGAGUGCCUUCAAGCUAGAUUAAUCAUCUUCUCGUUAAUUCAACUGGUCCUUUCGUGUUUCCUUCUCUCUUUGCAGCAAAAUCAGUGGCGGUUUUCACCGAACACGAACACCGCUUCUCAUGGUGGUUCUACAACCAUUACCGAUGUUCCUUCUUCUUGUAAUUGUUGGUGUAAACAAACUAAGGAGGCGACUUUAUCGAAGAGCCCUUCUAAUAAUCGCGGGGUAGCAGACUUAGCCUCUUGAAGCGUUCUUUUGCUGAUUACAGAUCGGAUCCGGUCGGGAAUAAUCGGGUUAGCAAAGUUGUAGAGAGUGCUAAGGAUGUCCUUUUGAGCUGAGGCCGUGGAAGCUUAUAGUUUGUAUUAGGAAUUUGUUUAAUGUGUAUUAGUUCUGAUUAUGUUGAUUAUAAUGGACUCGUAGUGAGUUGUAUGGUUACUUUAUGUUUAGAUUAGAUAUUUGGUUUGAGAGUUAGCUGUGUUGGUUUCGUAAUAGAGCUGGUGAUUCCUUUG